UCACACCCACAAGAAGGAUCAAGAUAAACACAUAUUACACCACAAUGAAAAUAUGUUUAUAAACAUGCACAUACAUUGAACGCAAGUUGACAAACAAAUUAACCUAGAGGAAGCAUAGUUUUGACCAUCUUAACAAUCAUCGAGAUCACACAAGUUACAAAACGAUAAGGACUAUUGGUUACUAUGAGAGACUUGAGAUGGUCCAGAAAACAUAAGUUUGUAUCUACAUGCACAAAGUGCAAGCUCUGAAACACUCGAAACACCAAAUGGUCUACAAGACAAUAAGGUCCAUGAUUACAGGUUGGU
RNAcentral lists this long non-coding RNA (306 nucleotides) under Hordeum vulgare. Its description in RNAcentral is "long non-coding RNA (HVUL_LNC009534)". Lineage: Eukaryota; Viridiplantae; Streptophyta; Magnoliopsida; Poales; Poaceae. The record is from RNAcentral.